AUGUGGACCAGCUGGGGCGUCAUGGUCUGUCUUGCCAGCGAAGCGCGGGGCGAUUGUCACGUCACGCCGCGCUCAAUGACAUUAUCCGUCGGUCUCUUGUCACCGUCAACGUGCCAGCGAUACUCGAGCCGACCGGUAUGGCCCGGGACGAUGGCAAGAGACCGGAUGGUAUUGUGGGACGCGACCUGUGUGGACACACUGGCACCGUCUCACCUUCACGGUAC
Long non-coding RNA from Cydia splendana, 224 nucleotides. RefSeq lists it as uncharacterized. The transcript is spliced from 2 exons. Lineage: Eukaryota; Metazoa; Arthropoda; Insecta; Lepidoptera; Tortricidae. The record is from RefSeq and is a predicted model, not a curated record.